RNAcentral lists this ribosomal RNA (497 nucleotides) under uncultured bacterium. Its description in RNAcentral is "partial 16S ribosomal RNA". It matches the Rfam family "Bacterial small subunit ribosomal RNA", at positions 28 to 507 of the family's 1533-position model. The record is from RNAcentral.
GAUGAACGCUGGCGGCGUGCCUAAUACAUGCAAGUCGAGCGAACGGACGAGAAGCUUGCUUUUCUGAUGUUAGCGGCGGACGGGUGAGUAACACGUGGAUAACCUACCUAUAAGACUGGGAUAACUUCGGGAAACCGGAGCUAAUACCGGAUAAUAUUUUGAACCGCAUGGUUCAAAAGUGAAAGACGGUCUUGCUGUCACUUAUAGAUGGAUCCGCGCUGCAUUAGCUAGUUGGUAAGGUAACGGCUUACCAAGGCAACGAUGCAUAGCCGACCUGAGAGGGGGAUAGGCCACACUGGAACGGAGACGGGGUCCAGACGACUACGGGAGGCAGCAGUAGGGAAUCGGCCGCAAUGGGCGAAAGCCUGACGGAGCAACGCCGCGUGAGUGAUGAAGGUCUUCGGAUCGUAAAACUCUGUUAUUAGGGAAGAACAUAUGUGUAAGGAACUGUGGACAUCGUGACGGUACCUAAUCAGAAAGCCACGGCUAACUACGUG